RNAcentral lists this ribosomal RNA (486 nucleotides) under uncultured bacterium. Its description in RNAcentral is "bacterial SSU rRNA". It matches the Rfam family "Bacterial small subunit ribosomal RNA", at positions 28 to 517 of the family's 1533-position model. The record is from RNAcentral.
GAUGAACGCUAGCGGCAGGCUUAACACAUGCAAGUCGAGGGGUAGAGGAAGCUUGCUUCCUUGAGACCGGCGCACGGUGCGUAACGCGUAUGCAAUCUACCUUAUACAGGGGGAUAGCCCAGAGAAAUUUGGAUUAAUACCCCAUAGUAUAAUUGAAUGGCAUCAUUUAAUUAUUAAAGUUCCAACGGUAUAAGAUGAGCAUGCGUCCAUUAGCUAGUUGGUGUGGUAACGGCACACCAAGGCGACGAUGGGUAGGGGUCCUGAGAGGGAGAUCCCCCACACUGGUACUGAGACACGGACCAGACUCCUACGGGAGGCAGCAGUGAGGAAUAUUGGUCAAUGGGCGCAAGCCUGAACCAGCCAUGCCGCGUGCAGGAUGACGGUCCUAUGGAUUGAAACUGCUUUGACAGGAGAAACACUCCCUCGUAGAGGGAGCUUGACGGUACUGUAAGAAUAAGGAUCGGGCUAACUCCGUGCCAGCAGCCG